GGAAGUAUUGAGUGUGGAUACUAUGUGAUGAGGUAUAUGAGAGAAAUUGUGACUAGGGGAAGCAUUGUCAUAUCCGAUGCGAUCAUACUCACAGGCAGAACUACACGAGGUGCGAGUUGAGUUAGCUGACUUUUUGGGUUCUUACAUAUGAUUAUGACCAAUAUUUUGUGAUUCUGAAGUAGGAAA
Molecule: long non-coding RNA, 186 nt
Organism: Cucumis sativus (cucumber)
Lineage: Eukaryota; Viridiplantae; Streptophyta; Magnoliopsida; Cucurbitales; Cucurbitaceae
Exons: 2
Source: RefSeq, a predicted model, not a curated record